RNAcentral lists this ribosomal RNA (782 nucleotides) under uncultured Centipeda sp. RNAcentral's name for it is "bacterial SSU rRNA". It matches the Rfam family "Bacterial small subunit ribosomal RNA", at positions 64 to 869 of the family's 1533-position model. The record is from RNAcentral. Lineage: Bacteria; Bacillati; Bacillota; Negativicutes; Selenomonadales; Selenomonadaceae.
GAGCGGAUGCAGCAAUGCAUUAGCGGCGGACGGGUGAGUAACACGUGGGCAACCUGGCCUUAAGAGGGGGAUAACGUUCCGAAAGGGACGCUAAUACCGCGUAAAUCAGCGAAAUCGCAUGAUUUUGUUGGAAAAGGAGAAAUCCGCUUAAGGAUGGGCCCGCGGCCUAUUAGCUAGUUGGUAGGGUAACGGCCUACCAAGGCGACGAUAGGUAGCCGACCUGAGAGGGUGAACGGCCACACUGGAACUGAGAAACGGUCCAGACUCCUACGGGAGGCAGCAGUAGGGAAUAUUCCGCAAUGGGCGAAAGCCUGACGGAGCAACGCCGCGUGAGUGAAGAAGGUCUUCGGAUCGUAAAGCUCUGUCAACAGGGACGAAACAAGACGGUACCUGAGAAGGAAGCCACGGCAAACUACGUGCCAGCAGCCGCGGUAAUACGUAGGUGGCAAGCGUUGUCCGGAAUAACUGGGCGUAAAGCGCAUGUAGACGGCAUGAUAAGCCAAAUGUGAAAUGUAGGGGCUCAACCCCUACACGGCGAUUGGAACUGUCAAGCUUGAGUGCAGGAGAGGCAAAUGGAAUUCCCAGUGUAGCAGUGAAAUGCGUAGAGAUUGGGAGGAACACCAGUGGCGAAGGCGAUUUGCUGGACUGCAACUGACGUUGAGAUGCGAAAGCCAGGGGAGCAAACGGGAUUAGAUACCCCGGUAGUCCUGGCCGUAAAACGAUGGAUACUAGGUGUAGAGGGUAUCGACCCCUUCUGUGCCGCAGUGAACGCAAUAAGAUCC